Molecule: small RNA, 170 nt
Filed under: Duffyella gerundensis
Lineage: Bacteria; Pseudomonadati; Pseudomonadota; Gammaproteobacteria; Enterobacterales; Erwiniaceae
Description: Erwinia gerundensis SraG RNA
Rfam family: SraG RNA
About the family: This RNA was discovered in E. coli during a large scale screen. Evidence was found for specific cleavage of this RNA.
Source: Rfam by way of RNAcentral
CUUUAUUUGCAUCCUCGCGACUAAUGACAAUCUUUAACUCCGCCCGGAGUAAAGUUUCUCAUUAGCCGCGCGAACCUCUGCAAGCAAAGAUCACUCUCAGCAACAAUACAUGAGUUUGGCGUGGAUUGCUGCGCAUUGCUUAAAAAAAGGGGCCAUAAAGGCCCCCUUUU